Molecule: ribosomal RNA, 501 nt
Filed under: uncultured bacterium
Lineage: Bacteria
Description: partial 16S ribosomal RNA
Rfam family: Bacterial small subunit ribosomal RNA
Source: RNAcentral
AUUGAACGCUGGCGGCAGGCUUAACACAUGCCAUUCGAGCGGGGGCAGGUAGCUUGCUACCGGACCUAGCGGCGGACGGGUGAGUAAUGCUUAGGAAUCUGCCUAUUAGUGGGGGACAACAUCUCGAAAGGGAUGCUAAUACCGCAUACGUCCUACGGGAGAAAGCAGGGGAUCUUCGGACCUUGCGCUAAUAGAUGAGCCUAAGUCGGAUUAGCUAGUUGGUGGGGUAAAGGCCUACCAAGGCGACGAUCUGUAGCGGGUCUGAGAGGAUGAUCCGCCACACUGGGACUGCGCCCCGGCCCAGACUCCUACGGGAGGCAGCAGUGGUGAAUAUUGGACAAUGGGGGGAACCCUGAUCCAGCCAUACCGCGUGUGUGAAGAAGGCCUUAUGGUUGUAAAGCACUUUAAGCGAGGAGGAGGCUACUCUAGUUAAUACCUAGGGAUAGUGGACGUUACUCGCAGAAUAAGCACCGGCUAACUCUGUGCCAGCAGCCGCAGUAA